GACCAUAUCAUGUUGAAAUGGCGGUUCUCUUAUGAUCACUGAAGUUAAGCAACAUUGAGUCUAGUCAGUACCUAGAUGAGUAACCACUUGGAAAUACCAAGUGUUGUAGG
Acanthosepion pharaonis is the source of this 110-nucleotide non-coding RNA. The record is from the annotation of a GenBank genome assembly. NCBI's taxonomy places the organism in Eukaryota, Metazoa, Mollusca, Cephalopoda, Sepiida, Sepiidae.